This 323-nucleotide ribosomal RNA is filed under the name uncultured bacterium. Its description in RNAcentral is "bacterial SSU rRNA". It matches the Rfam family "Bacterial small subunit ribosomal RNA", at positions 28 to 334 of the family's 1533-position model. The record is from RNAcentral.
GAUGAACGCUGGCGGCGUGCUUAACACAUGCAAGUCGAGCGAAGCAUAAGAGAGGAAGUUUUAAAUGGAAUCUAUUAUGACUGAGCGGCGGACGGGUGAGUAACGCGUGGGGAACCUGCCCUAUACAGGGGGAUAACAGUUAGAAAUGACUGCUAAUACCGCAUAAGCGCACGGAGCCGCAUGGCGCUGUGUGAAAAACGAUAGUGGUAUGGGAGGGACCCGCGUCUGAUUAGGUAGUUGGUGGGGUAACGGCCCACCAAGCCGACGAUCAGUAGCCGACCUGAGAGGGUGACCGGCCACAUUGGGACUGAGACACGGCCCAA